Haemonchus placei is the source of this 75-nucleotide non-coding RNA. The record is from Rfam. Lineage: Eukaryota; Metazoa; Nematoda; Chromadorea; Rhabditida; Trichostrongylidae.
GGCCCGAAUUUGAAGUAGAGUCGAACAGUAGGAUCGGCUGACCCUACUUAACUACUCUACUUCGAGUUUGUGCCC